Molecule: ribosomal RNA, 425 nt
Filed under: uncultured bacterium
Lineage: Bacteria
Description: bacterial SSU rRNA
Rfam family: Bacterial small subunit ribosomal RNA
Source: RNAcentral
GUGGGGAAUAUUGCACAAUGGGGGAAACCCUGAUGCAGCAACGCCGCGUGAGCGAUGAAGGCCUUCGGGUUGUAAAGCUCUGUCUUCGCUGACGAUAAUGACGGUAAGCGAGGAGGAAGCCACGGCUAACUACGUGCCAGCAGCCGCGGUAAUACGUAGGUGGCAAGCGUUGUCCGGAAUUACUGGGCGUAAAGGAUGCGUAGGCGGCCUCUUAAGUGGGAUGUGAAAUCCCGGGGCUUAACCCCGGAGCUGCAUUCCAUACUGGGAGGCUAGAGUGCAGGAGAGGAAAGCGGAAUUCCCAGUGUAGCGGUGAAAUGCGUAGAGAUUGGGAGGAACACCAGUGGCGAAGGCGGCUUUCUGGACUGUAACUGACGCUGAGGCAUGAAAGUGUGGGGAGCAAACAGGAUUAGAAACCCUUGUAGUCC